GACGAACGCUGGCGGCGUGCUUAACACAUGCAAGUCGAACGGAAAGGCCCUGCUUUUGUGGGGUGCUCGAGUGGCGAACGGGUGAGUAACACGUGAGUAACCUGCCCUUGACUUUGGGAUAACUUCAGGAAACUGGGGCUAAUACCGGAUAGGAGCUCCUGCUGCAUGGUGGGGGUUGGAAAGUUUCGGCGGUUGGGGAUGGACUCGCGGCUUAUCAGCUUGUUGGUGGGGUAGUGGCUUACCAAGGCUUUGACGGGUAGCCGGCCUGAGAGGGUGACCGGCCACAUUGGGACUGAGAUACGGCCCAGACUCCUACGGGAGGCAGAAGUGGGGAAUAUUGCACAAUGGGCGGAAGCCUGAUGCAGCAGCGCCGCGUGCGGGAUGACGGCCUUCGGGUUGUAAACCGCUUUCGCCUGUGACGAAGCGUGAGUGACGGUAAUGGGAAAAGAAGCACCGGCUAACUACGUG
RNAcentral lists this ribosomal RNA (468 nucleotides) under uncultured bacterium. RNAcentral's name for it is "partial 16S ribosomal RNA". It matches the Rfam family "Bacterial small subunit ribosomal RNA", at positions 28 to 507 of the family's 1533-position model. The record is from RNAcentral.